GGCUAAGCUCUAAAGACACAAAAUAGUGUGAUCUCUUCCUUCAAGAGCUAUACAAAUGAUCUGGAUGGGCAUGGACUAAGCACGUGAGACUUCAAAAUGGCAGAGUUUCCUCCAGGAGGUGGUAGAAGAGGAGGAGACUUCCUAAGCCCAAGGAGAAUUCAAUAUAGCUUCACUGACAUGGAGAUUCAUGAGGAUAUGCAAGGGGCUCAUUCUGUCAAACCUAAGACAGGAUCGUGAUGUGACCUAAUAAGUCAAACAAUAGAUUUGAAGCCUUGCAGAAAAUGAAUGGGACAUAAGUUCAAGACAUGGAAAAGAAAUGAGCAGGAAGAGUGUCUAGCUGGCUGAGAGUGAGAAGAGUCAAAAGCAAGCCCUUCCCUCCAAGCUGGAAUUCAGCUAGCAGAAGAUUCUAAUUGGAAAGAUAGCAACCAUGGAGCUGCUGUUCUGUCUGUGUCCUGCCUUCCUAGAGGAAACAGCCACUAAAACAAGGUCCUCUGUCAUUAAAAGAAAGCUGGAGCCUUCACUACC
Mastomys coucha (southern multimammate mouse) is the source of this 525-nucleotide long non-coding RNA. RefSeq lists it as uncharacterized. The transcript is spliced from 5 exons. NCBI's taxonomy places the organism in Eukaryota, Metazoa, Chordata, Mammalia, Rodentia, Muridae. The record is from RefSeq and is a predicted model, not a curated record.